AGAGUUUGAUCCUGGCUCAGAUUGAACGCUGGCGGCAGGCUUAACACAUGCAAGUCGAGCGGAGAGAGGUAGCUUGCUACUGAUCUUAGCGGCGGACGGGUGAGUAAUGCUUAGGAAUCUGCCUAUUAGUGGGGGACAACAUCUCGAAAGGGAUGCUAAUACCGCAUACGUCCUACGGGAGAAAGCAGGGGAUCUUCGGACCUUGCGCUAAUAGAUGAGCCUAAGUCGGAUUAGCUAGUUGGUGGGGUAAAGGCCUACCAAGGCGACGAUCUGUAGCGGGUCUGAGAGGAUGAUCCGCCACACUGGGACUGAGACACGGCCCAGACUCCUACGGGAGGCAGCAGUGGGGAAUAUUGGACAAUGGGGGGAACCCUGAUCCAGCCAUGCCGCGUGUGUGAAGAAGGCCUUAUGGUUGUAAAGCACUUUAAGCGAGGAGGAGGCUACUUUAGUUAAUACCUAGAGAUAGUGGACGUUACUCGCAGAAUAAGCACCGGCUAACUCUGUGCCAGCAGCCGCGGUAAUACAGAGGGUGCAAGCGUUAAUCGGAUUUACUGGGCGUAAAGCGCGCGUAGGCGGCUAAUUAAGUCAAAUGUGAAAUCCCCGAGCUUAACUUGGGAAUUGCAUUCGAUACUGGUUAGCUAGAGUGUGGGAGAGGAUGGUAGAAUUCCAGGUGUAGCGGUGAAAUGCGUAGAGAUCUGGAGGAAUACCGAUGGCGAAGGCAGCCAUCUGGCCUAACACUGACGCUGAGGUGCGAAAGCAUGGGGAGCAAACAGGAUUAGAUACCCUGGUAGUCCAUGCCGUAAACGAUGUCUACUAGCCGUUGGGGCCUUUGAGGCUUUAGUGGCGCAGCUAACGCGAUAAGUAGACCGCCUGGGGAGUACGGUCGCAAGACUAAAACUCAAAUGAAUUGACGGGGGCCCGCACAAGCGGUGGAGCAUGUGGUUUAAUUCGAUGCAACGCGAAGAACCUUACCUGGCCUUGACAUAGUAAGAACUUUCCAGAGAUGGAUUGGUGCCUUCGGGAACUUACAUACAGGUGCUGCAUGGCUGUCGUCAGCUCGCGUCGUGAGAUGUUGGGUUAAGUCCCGCAACGAGCGCAACCCUUUUCCUUAUUUGCCAGCGAGUAAUGUCGGGAACUUUAAGGAUACUGCCAGUGACAAACUGGAGGAAGGCGGGGACGACGUCAAGUCAUCAUGGCCCUUACGGCCAGGGCUACACACGUGCUACAAUGGUCGGUACAAAGGGUUGCUACACAGCGAUGUGAUGCUAAUCUCAAAAAGCCGAUCGUAGUCCGGAUUGGAGUCUGCAACUCGACUCCAUGAAGUCGGAAUCGCUAGUAAUCGCGGAUCAGAAUGCCGCGGUGAAUACGUUCCCGGGCCUUGUACACACCGCCCGUCACACCAUGGGAGUUUGUUGCACCAGAAGUAGCUAGCCUAACUGCAAAGAGGGCGGUUACCACGGUGUGGCCGAUGACUGGGGUGAAGUCGUAACAAGGUAACC
Molecule: ribosomal RNA, 1499 nt
Filed under: uncultured bacterium
Lineage: Bacteria
Description: bacterial SSU rRNA
Rfam family: Bacterial small subunit ribosomal RNA
Source: RNAcentral